Molecule: long non-coding RNA, 3245 nt
Filed under: Olea europaea subsp. europaea
Lineage: Eukaryota; Viridiplantae; Streptophyta; Magnoliopsida; Lamiales; Oleaceae
Source: RNAcentral
CAGGUAUGAAGAGUCCUGCUUCUUUAAUCAAUCUGUUAGUUUGAUUUAUUCUUGUAAGAUUAGUUGUAUUUUUUGAGAUCCGAAAAUCUAUAUUCAAUAUUUUCUUUCGAAUCUAAAUUUUUUUUAUCAAAGAGGUUUUAUAGAUAAACUUUAAAAAUGGUUCGAGUUGUGAUUUUUUUUGGAUUCAUACCACUUAAAUCUGAUGCUCAUUUUUUUAUGUUCUGCAAGUUUUGACUUGUAGCUAUCUAUUGGGAUAUUUCUCCUUUUCGUUUUCAAUUUCUACUACCAGCAGGGACGACCACUAACAGUUUGUCGUUUCAUGUUCUUUUACUGUAAUUAUAUGUUAUAUAUUGGUUCAUACUCUUUAAUUGUAAUUACAUGUCAUACAUUGAAUGAAAAUCUUGUUGUAGUGAAGUACAUUCUUCGUUCAAAGUUUUAAGCUUUGGCAAUGUCUUUUGUUCAUUUUAUUUAUAUGUCAAUUUGGUUUUUUUUUUUUUUUUUUAGUUCAAAUUUUUGUCCUAAUCUAUUGGUCACAAGUAUCUCCGUUAAAAUUUUCCAAUCUAGUCCGUAUGCUCUUUUGUCUUUCAUUCUUCAAUUAUCCUUCGUUCUUUUCUAUUCAAUUAAACAGGUUUUGAACAGAAAAGGCUCAUUGCCUUAUUAGAUUUUAUGACCUGUUUCAAAUUUUACUAUGUAAUUUACAUUUGAAGUUUGUUACAUUCUUAGAUGAUGAUGUUUUCGUUUCAUUGUGUUUGCUAUGAAGGAAGUUUUAUGCGUAUCCUAAAAUCCACUUCCUAUACUUCCUAUUAUUUUCCUUUGUUAUCAAUAAGUUGUCUUCAUAUAUUCCUAAAAUUUGCUUACUUGAUACAUUCUGGGGAUUGCACCAUGUUUAUUAUUGUUGAUUAUACUAAAUAGCGAAGCCUCCAUAAAUUCAUUAAUGGGAAAUCGAACUAUCAUGGCAAGAAUUUCUUACAGUGAUUUACUUGAAGAUUGAGUAUGGGUUGGCUGUCCUUUAAUAUUUUGGGCUCGUAGAGAUAUAUUCAUAUAAUAUUAUAUCUAAUGUAGAUGAUUUCCUUCUCCUGUUUUACUUUAGGGUUUGUCCUCCCCUUUUUUUGUCCUUUCAAAUGAUUAGAAAUGUGUCCAUUUCUGAUGAGUUUGCUUUUGAUUCUUCUGUAUUUAAAACUCUUAUCUUUUGUUUCCUUUCUUUCCUGAUUGUCCUCGAAAAUAGCAUGCCUCAUAACCAUAAUAGCAAAUACAACUUACAUAAAAUUCAUGCACAUGUUUUUAUAUAUGUUCAAAACUACAGAGUAGUCAUAAUGUCAAAUUAACUAACAAUUUGCAGCUUGAUUGUCUUCCCAUCCUGCUCCACAGUCCUAAUUUUCUGCAGUAAUUAUCAAUAAUCACAUUAAACCCAAUAAAAACAAAGUCAAGGACCUAAAAAUAAUCAAACUAUAUUGUAUACUAAUUCCUAAGCAACGUAAAUAAAGAGAUUAUGCGAGUAAACUCACAAAAUCCACUCCAAUGGUGCUAAUAUAGCUGUCAACAUAUGAAUCAUCCUGAAAAUAUCAAAGAAUAGCAUCAUUUCCACUGCAAAUUGCCCCAAAUGAAAUUUCCCAAAAAAAAAAAGAAAAAGAAAAAAAAACAGAACUGAAUACAUUAAGUCAAAACUAUUUCCAGAAGCAAGUCAGUAAACAAUAAUUGAAAGGAAACCCAUUUAUCAAUCUGAAAUCAAUUAGAAUGUUCCCUAAUAUCCUGGAGUUAAUUAAAGCUGAACUUAAAUAGCCUAAUCCCUAUUAAUUAUUAUUCUGAUUCUUCACAUUUAAAAAAGUCCAUCAAAAUAUAAUCAUUUUUCUUCAUUACACGCGCAUAAACUUUAUUUAGAAUAAUUGAACAAUGAAUAAAAAUGUUAAGAAUGGGAUUGAAGCGUACAACGAAUCUGAGAAGAAGACAAGAUUUUCCAACAGAGGAAUCACCGAUGUGUAUAUCAUCUACUGGAUAUAGUAGGGAGACCAUUGUUUUAUAUUUUACUUACUAUUGCAAUUUUCUAAAAUUGUAAUAAAUGUAAUACUCUUACUUAUUUCCUAAUAAUUCGAUGUAUAUAAAUAUAGCUCCUACAUGGGUGGUCACAGAAUUAGGAAUAAGGAACCAAUGUCAUGGUCGGACGAGAAUGAACACACUUUCAUCGAAAUUCUUUAUGAGAAAGUGAAAUCAAAUGUAUUGCAAUGUUCAACAUUCACGAAAGACGAAUGGGGUAGGAUCAACGAAAACAUGAUAGCUUCAACAAAAAUGGAUUACGGGAUAGAUAGAUUAAAGGGAAAGUGGAACCGCUUACGUAAGAUUCAUCGCAUGUUCUCUGAACUUUUGGGACAUACAGGGGUUACAUGGGAUCCAAAUACCAACAAAGUUAAUGCUGCAGAGGAAGUUUGGCAACACUUUUAUACGGUACAUGUAUUUAUUAAAGAAUAUUUUCGUCAUUAUUUUUUUCUUAUCAAUUUUUUUUUUAAUGUUCAACACUUUGACAAUGUGACUUCUUUUCCAAUGGCAGAUUAAUAGGUCGGAUUACAAGAUGUUCAAGAGGGAAGGAUGUAAGCACUACCACACUCUUGGGGAGAUAUUUAGUGGGACUACAGCUACUGGAGGAUUAUGCAAAGCCUCCACUCAGCUUCCAAACACAUCAGAGGAAGAAAGGCAACUAGAAGAUGAUUUUUUGAAUAGGGGAGUGCAUGUACAUGUAGAGAAUGAUGAUGAAGUCGAUGUGGUUUCUGAUACUCGUCGACGUAACGAAAUUGGUACAUCAAAUGAAUGACGACGUAAGGAACCUAAGAUCAGUAAAAGUGAUAAACUUGAGGCAUGCAUGGCACAAUGGUCAUCUACAGUUAGUAUGAGAAAUGAAGAUUAGAACACUUUAUCUAAAAGAAAAGCUUGCAAAGAUUCAAGGAAAAUCAAGUAAUCAGUCGGAUGUUGAAGUUAACAGUCCGGAUCCUUAUUCAAAUGUUAUUUGCAUGGACAUCUUAAACGAUAUUGAAGGGUUGUCUAAUGAGGUUUAUAUGAAAGCAAUACGGGCUUUUAAUGAUCCUAAUUUCAGGGUGUCAUUUGUGAAGAUGCCAGAAACAAGGAGAGGACUUAUCUUGGAACUACUAUGAUGUGAUUGUUGUUUUAAUUUUUCUAGUAACGUGUUGUUCUAAUUUGUGAUGUUGAAAUACUACGUUAAAGUGUGACUAUUGUUGUUCUAAUUUGUGAUGUUGAAU